GGGCGGUUAACUCAGCGGUAGAGUGCGAUCCUCACACGGUCGAAGUCACUGGUUCGAUCCCAGUACCGCCCACCA
This 75-nucleotide transfer RNA is filed under the name Betaproteobacteria bacterium RIFCSPLOWO2_02_FULL_65_24. RNAcentral's name for it is "tRNA-Val". It matches the Rfam family "tRNA". Rfam says of the family: Transfer RNA (tRNA) molecules are approximately 80 nucleotides in length. Their secondary structure includes four short double-helical elements and three loops (D, anti-codon, and T loops). Lineage: Bacteria; Pseudomonadati; Pseudomonadota; Betaproteobacteria. The record is from RNAcentral. RNAcentral also lists the same sequence under 1 other name.